Ictidomys tridecemlineatus (thirteen-lined ground squirrel) is the source of this 2636-nucleotide non-coding RNA. The record is from RefSeq and is a predicted model, not a curated record. Lineage: Eukaryota; Metazoa; Chordata; Mammalia; Rodentia; Sciuridae.
CAACAGAACUAUUUGCAUCUCGGUGAAAGUGAUUCCUCCUGCACUCAGGCAGGUACUAUUUUGCUGGCUGUACUCAGAGAAUAUUUGAGUUGGACUCAAGUGGUAGCCUAGCCCCAGUGAGCCAUGGGUCAGAGGUCACUCAGUUGUCAAGAGUCGUCUCCAGAGUCCCUGAAUUAAAGUAGCCUGAUCUGAGACACUCUUCUUCCUGCUGUUUAGAAAGGUAAGUGUUCCAGGCCUUGUAGCUAUGAAAUGGCAGAGACCAUUCAUCUGGGUCAGUGAAUGGAAAGAGCAGACCUGCAGUCGGCAUCUGAACCAGUGAGAAAUAAACCUUUACUGUGUGGAGACACUGAGAUUUGGAGCACGACCUAAUCCACCUGGACUACCAAACGCACCGAGUGUCGCUCAUGCUGUUGGUCCCCCUGGGGAGCUGAUGCCUGCAGCACGGGUCUCGUCUUCAGGCCACUUUCAAAAUGACUCCACUGGGCUUUGUCAGCCCCAAGAUAAGAGCUCAGAGAUUAAAUCUAUUGACGUGGGAGGACAAGAGAAGAAGAGGAGAGGAUUAGAAAAAUUGGCCUCCUUAUGACUCAUGCUUGUGGAGUCUGGCACUGAGAGUUUUUCCCCUAAGUAAUCUGCAAGGAGACCUCUGGAGCCCUAUUUGCCAGAUAGGAGAUUGUGCACAGUGACUGUCAGCUAUUGAAGUAAGUGCUCCCAACUCAAGUUGAUUAUUUUUUUACGCUCAAUUUUUUUCCUUUGAUGAGAUUUGGAGGAAUUCAUCGUGUUUCAAGAACAGAUAUGCACAGAGAAAGAGAAACAAAUUUGGCUACCCAAUCUUCAUUUUUCCCUUGGCUCUUUAAUAAGUGCAGAAAAAAAUUAAGGUCUGUUUACUGAGAAGUUGCAAUGUACCAAGGAGUUUAUAUAUCUUCUAUUAUUAAAUGGUAAUGACGACCCUGUUUAAAGAUGGGGAAAACCCAAAGAUUCAUUAAUUUUUUUUUAAAGAUCACACUGUUAUUACUAGUACUCAAAACAGCAGGGAUUUAAACUUGGGACUCUCUCUCCUCGUAUCCAACCCUUUUCAUCAUUAUACCCAUUAGUCUCUCUGUAAUGAAUUUCAAAAUUAUCGCAAUUGCUCAUCCUCUAGAAAUUUCCUUGUUGAUGUCUACUAUAAUUAGAAUUCCAGGUUGUUUGUGAAUGCUAAAAUGUAUCAUUAGAGUUACUCAAAUCGGAAGCAACCCACUCUAGAAGAAUCUCCAGAAUGUCAUAAGACAGAUGAAUGUAUAUAGACAGUGGUUUGAGAGAAAAAAUGUGAACGUUCUACCCAGAAAGAUAUCAACAUCAUAAUAACUUCCAUUUAUUAAGCUCUUAUUAUGUGACUGGGACUGUGCCAAGGAGUUCUGAUGAAUUUUCUCAUUUAAUUCUCAAGACAACCCUAGCAGGCAAAAACUAUUAUCAUUUCCAUUUUAUACAUAGUAAACUAAGACUUGCAGCAUUUAAUUAUCUUGUCCAAAGUCAUAUAGCUAAUGAGUGAUCUGGUGUCGUCUGAUUAUCUUCCAUUAACCAUAGAAACUUGUGUGGAAUAACUGUACAAGGAGUUCAAAGGGAAUUUAAAAGUUCUUAUUGGAUACACAAGAAAGAAAAUGAAGGUAUUUGUUGGACAAGUAAGAAGAACAAAGUAAUUCCAGGAGAGUCCAAGUGUUUUGGAUAAUGGUAGAUGGAUAAAUGGAGCAGUCUGGAACUGCGCUCUCUUCCUUGCACAAUGUGCACUAUAUUUCAUGUCAAAAAUUAGAAAUUAAGUAUAAGCAGAUGCUCCAUUUCAUGAACAGAGAUUUUUGUUGGAUGGAUGUGUCUGUUAAAGUUGACUCUUGUCUGUGUGACAACCCAGGCCAUCUCAGAAUCUCCCUGGGAACUGGUCACUGAAAUUGCCCAGCAAGGGUAGACCCUUAGCCCUGGUGAGAGAAGAUGAAGGCUCCCCCUAGUGCUCUACUGCACAACAUACCCUAGUUCUUAAACAGAGGGUCAGGAGAGGAAAUAAGGACUAUACUACUUGUAAUAUUUGUGUCACUGAACUCCAUUAAUGGGUCUCUGCUUUAAAAGUUUAGGAAUGCAUAACUUGAUCACUUACAAUGUGUUAGUCAACUAUGGUUAAAAUGACAUUAUAUAAAAACCCAUCUCAAAAUAUAACUGCCUUCCAACAAUAAACUCCUUAUUUCUAGCCCCGGCAUCUGUGAAUUGGCUGAGGUUUAACUGGUCGAGAUUGGGCUAAAUUAGGCUGAACUUCAAGUUGUAGAUUUGGGUCUAGAUUGGCUCCAUGGUCCAGAAGCCAUCUGAGCAUAUACUUCCCAAUGGAGAAAGGAGGUAGAAGCACAACCAGGACAAGUUAAAUGAUGCAAACCCACUUUAAAUUCCUAUUUAUGUCACAUCUGCUACCAUUGUGUUGGCCAAGGCUAGUCACAAGACCCAGUUUAAAGUCCAGCCGUUGGAAAAUAUACUACCUACCAUGAAGGCAUGGAAACAUUGUGAGAACUUGGAAACCAUCUAGUUAAAUUUAACAUUUAAAAGAUGGGUUGGGGAGAAAAUAAAUUAUCAAGAUGAGUGCUGAGAGAUGUAAUUGAAAUCUACCUUGGAUACAAGUCAGUUGU